RNAcentral lists this ribosomal RNA (460 nucleotides) under uncultured bacterium. RNAcentral's name for it is "partial 16S ribosomal RNA". It matches the Rfam family "Bacterial small subunit ribosomal RNA", at positions 338 to 795 of the family's 1533-position model. The record is from RNAcentral.
CCUACGGGGGGCAGCAGUGAGGAAUAUUGGUCAAUGGACGAGAGUCUGAACCAGCCAAGUAGCGUGAAGGAUGACUGCCCUAUGGGUUGUAAACUUCUUUUAUAUGGGAAUAAAAUGUUCCACGUGUGGGAUUUUGUAUGUACCAUAUGAAUAAGGAUCGGCUAACUCCGUGCCAGCAGCCGCGGUAAUACGGAGGAUCCGAGCGUUAUCCGGAUUUAUUGGGUUUAAAGGGAGCGUAGGUGGAUUGUUAAGUCAGUUGUGAAAGUUUGCGGCUCAACCGUAAGAUUGCAGUUGAAACGGGCAGUCUUGAGUACAGUAGAGGUGGGCGGAAUUCGUGGUGUAGCGGUGAAAUGCUUAGAUAUCACGAAGAACUCCGAUUGCGAAGGCAGUUCACUGGACUGCAACUGACACUGAGGCUCGAAAGUGUGGGUAUCAAACAGGAUUAGAUACCCCAGUAGUC